This 321-nucleotide ribosomal RNA is filed under the name Pseudococcus nr. sociabilis 1101838. Its description in RNAcentral is "partial 28S ribosomal RNA". The record is from RNAcentral. Lineage: Eukaryota; Metazoa; Arthropoda; Insecta; Hemiptera; Pseudococcidae.
AAACCGUUCGGGGGUAAACGGACAGAGCCCGUGAAUCCGGGCGACGGAAUUCAGAAUCGACGGCGUUCGCGCGUCGUCGGUUCGAUAUUUCCGUCGCCGACCAUUUUCACACGGACGUCGCGACCCGUUCGGUGUCGGUCUGCAGGAGACGCGCGAAAGUUCGUGAGCGUGCGUCGGCCCUCGGGCUGGCGUGCGUUUCGCGAGUGCGCGUUCUUUUCUGGCCGACUCGCCGGACGGUAUGCGAAGCGGUGAUCGCGGCGGUCACACUUGCUGGCGCCGUCGCGUUACCGGUCUGCGACGAAUCUUCGGGCCUCUUUCCGA